UACGUAGGGGGCAAGCGUUGUCCGGAAUUAUUGGGCGUAAAGAGCUCGUAGGCGGUUUGUCGCGUCUGCCGUGAAAGUCCGGGGCUCAACUCCGGAUCUGCGGUGGGUACGGGCAGACUAGAGUGAUGUAGGGGAGACUGGAAUUCCUGGUGUAGCGGUGAAAUGCGCAGAUAUCAGGAGGAACACCGAUGGCGAGGGCAGGUCUCUGGGCAUUAACUGACGCUGAGGAGCGAAAGCAUGGGGAGCGAACAGG
Molecule: ribosomal RNA, 253 nt
Filed under: uncultured bacterium
Lineage: Bacteria
Description: partial 16S ribosomal RNA
Rfam family: Bacterial small subunit ribosomal RNA
Source: RNAcentral